GGUGCUAACGUCCGUCGUGAAGAGGGAAACAACCCAGACCGCCAGCUAAGGUCCCAAAGUCAUGGUUAAGUGGGAAACGAUGUGGGAAGGCCCAGACAGCCAGGAUGUUGGCUUAGAAGCAGCCAUCAUUUAAAGAAAGCGUAAUAGCUCACUGGUCGAGUCGGCCUGCGCGGAAGAUGUAACGGGGCUAAACCAUGCACCGAAGCUGCGGCAGCGAACGUAUCACUUAAAGCGAUUCAGCGGGUUACGAUUGACGGAGCGAAGCGACGUCAAAGCGUAUACAAAGUCGAGUCGGUUUAAGGAUACGUUCGUUGGGUAGGGGAGCGUUCUGUAAGCCUGUGAAGGUGGCCUGUGAGGGUUGCUGGAGGUAUCAGAAGUGCGAAUGCUGACAUAAGUAACGAUAAAGCGGGUGAAAAGCCCGCUCGCCGGAAGACCAAGGGUUCCUGUCCAACGUUAAUCGGGGCAGGGUGAGUCGACCCCUAAGGCGAGGCCGAAAGGCGUAGUCGAUGGGAAACGGGUUAAUAUUCCCGUACUUGGUGUUACUGCGAAGGGGGGACGGAGAAGGCUAUGUUGGCCGGGCGACGGUUGUCCCGGUUUAAGCGUGUAGGUGUGUGUUCCAGGUAAAUCCGGUUCACUUUAACACUGAGGCGUGAUGACGAGGCACUACGGUGCUGAAGCAACAAAUGCCCUGCUUCCAGGAAAAGCCUCUAAGCAUCAGGUAACAUCAAAUCGUACCCCAAACCGACACAGGUGGUCAGGUAGAGAAUACCAAGGCGCUUGAGAGAACUCGGGUGAAGGAACUAGGCAAAAUGGUGCCGUAACUUCGGGAGAAGGCACGCUGACACGUAGGUGAAGUGAUUUACUCAUGGAGCUGAAGUCAGUCGAAGAUACCAGCUGGCUGCAACUGUUUAUUAAAAACACAGCACUGUGCAAACACGAAAGUGGACGUAUACGGUGUGACGCCUGCCCGGUGCCGGAAGGUUAAUUGAUGGGGUCAGCGCAAGCGAAGCUCCUGAUCGAAGCCCCGGUAAACGGCGGCCGUAACUAUAACGGUCCUAAGGUAGCGAAAUUCCUUGUCGGGUAAGUUCCGACCUGCACGAAUGGCGUAAUGAUGGCCAGGCUGUCUCCACCCGAGACUCAGUGAAAUUGAACUCGCUGUGAAGAUGCAGUGUACCCGCGGCAAGACGGAAAGACCCCGUGAACCUUUACUAUAGCUUGACACUGAACAUUGAGCCUUGAUGUGUAGGAUAGGUGGGAGGC
RNAcentral lists this ribosomal RNA (1260 nucleotides) under Salmonella enterica subsp. enterica serovar Livingstone. RNAcentral's name for it is "partial 23S ribosomal RNA". It matches the Rfam family "Bacterial large subunit ribosomal RNA", at positions 994 to 2155 of the family's 2925-position model. The record is from RNAcentral. Lineage: Bacteria; Pseudomonadati; Pseudomonadota; Gammaproteobacteria; Enterobacterales; Enterobacteriaceae.